Molecule: small nuclear RNA, 143 nt
Organism: Heterocephalus glaber (naked mole-rat)
Lineage: Eukaryota; Metazoa; Chordata; Mammalia; Rodentia; Bathyergidae
Gene: U4
Rfam family: U4 spliceosomal RNA
About the family: U4 small nuclear RNA (U4 snRNA) is a component of the major U2-dependent spliceosome. The structure of U4 snRNA from yeast and human has been reported. U4 snRNA presents a k-turn RNA motif in the 5p-SL related to recognition of Snu13 protein.
Source: Ensembl
AGUUUUACACAGGGGUAAUAUCGUAGCCAAUGAGGUUUAUCAGAGGCAUGAUUAUUGCUAAUACUUGAAAAUGUCUCCAUUCUCUUUUUACCUGGAAGAUAACUUAGUUGGGUGCAGAACUUGGGAGUUGUCUUUUCCUGGAU